This 253-nucleotide ribosomal RNA is filed under the name uncultured bacterium. RNAcentral describes it as "partial 16S ribosomal RNA". It matches the Rfam family "Bacterial small subunit ribosomal RNA", at positions 524 to 776 of the family's 1533-position model. The record is from RNAcentral.
UACGUAGGGUGCGAGCGUUAAUCGGAAUUACUGGGCGUAAAGGGCGCGUAGGCGGCCUUCUAAGUCGAACGUGAAAUCCCUGGGCUCAACCCAGGAACUGCGUCCGAUACUGGAAGGCUUGAAUCCGGGAGAGGGAUGCGGAAUUCCAGGUGUAGCGGUGAAAUGCGUAGAUAUCUGGAAGAACACCAGUGGCGAAGGCGACUCGCUGGACAAGUAUUGACGUUGAGGUGCGAAAGCGUGGGGAGCAAACAGG